Homo sapiens (human) is the source of this 1160-nucleotide long non-coding RNA. Ensembl annotates it as long intergenic non-protein coding RNA 499. The record is from Ensembl. Lineage: Eukaryota; Metazoa; Chordata; Mammalia; Primates; Hominidae.
GGGCAUGGUGUGCUUGUCUGAUGGACAGGGCAGCUUAGGGGAAUAAGUCUCUGCAGCGUUGUAGUGAAGAGAGAAUACGGGACAACUGCAGGACCACAGCUCAGCCAAGAGCUCCCUUGCAGCUGAGUUGGCCAUAUGACUGACAGCAAGCCCUGGAAUGCAGCCAGAAGUGAUAGAAGCCUCUUUCACACCAUGCUCCUAAAAUAUUCCAAGAAAUUUUCCAAACCUACUCUUUUUAGUCUGUGCAUCUGGAAGUGAAAGUUUUAGAAAGGGUAAAGUCACUUAAUGGAAAGGGCCCAGAUCUAGCCCCUCGGAGCCAAGCUGUCCAACUAGAAAUUCUGCAUUAGUAUUUGCGACAGAUCUUUGGAGAGAAAAUGCCAAGAGUGGAUGGAGAGGCAAUGGUGAAGCUGAGGCUGAAGUCGGAGGAAGCUGUGAACCCUGCAUGGGGUACCUGAACACCAGGGCAAGUUUCUGGCCCAGAAUGGCUUCUGGGAAAGGGCCUCUUUCAGUGGCAUCUCCAGGCACGGGAGCAAACCAGAUGAAUAGAGCCUGUAUUGAACCCCAAGCAAACCACAGCAGCCCUACAGAAGAGGGACCUGACCUUUGAAAGAAAAACAAACAAACAGAAAGCAACAACAACAGCAUCAACAACAACAAAAAAGUCCCCACAAAAACCCCAUCCAAGGGUUAGCAGCCUCAAAGAUCAAACCUGGACAAACUCAUGAAGAUGAGAAAGAAUCAAUGAAAAUAUGCUGAAACCCGUAAGGCCAGAGUGUCUCUUCUCCUCCAAAUGAUUGCAAUGUCUCUGCAGCAAGGGUGAAGAACUGAACGGAGGAUAAGAUGGGCAAAUUGACAGAAGUAGGCUUCAGGUGAUGAGUAAUAAGAAACUCCUCUUAGCUAAAGGAACAUGUUUUAACCCAAUGCAAAGAAGCUAAGAACCUUGAUAAAAGGUUAGGGGAGUUGCUAACUAGAAUAACCAGUUUGGAGAGGAACAUAAAUGACCUGGUGGAGCUGAAAAACACAGCACAAGAACUUCGAGACGCAUACACAAGUAUCAAUAGCCGAAUCAACCAAGUGAAAGAAAGGAUAUCAGAGUUUGAAGACCACCUUGCUGAAAUAAGGCAUGCAGACAAGAUUAGAGAAAAAAUAAUGAAACAGAA